Molecule: long non-coding RNA, 234 nt
Filed under: Homo sapiens (human)
Lineage: Eukaryota; Metazoa; Chordata; Mammalia; Primates; Hominidae
Description: non-protein coding lnc-UTP6-2:1
Source: RNAcentral
CUGUCUCUACAAAAAUUACAAAAAAAUUAGCUGGGUGUGAUAGUGUAUACCUGUGGUCCCAGCUAUUCGGGAGCCUGGGAGGUUGAGGCUACAGUGAGCCAGGUUCCUGCGAUCCAGCCUGAGUUACUGAGUGAGACCCUGUCCACAUCCCCACAAGAGGUAAACUUAUGUUCAUCAAAAGACAUGUACAAGGAUGUUCAUAGCUGCUUUAUCUACAAUAACCAUUCACUGCAA